This is a non-coding RNA of Podarcis lilfordi (Lilford's wall lizard), 72 nucleotides long. NCBI's taxonomy places the organism in Eukaryota, Metazoa, Chordata, Lepidosauria, Squamata, Lacertidae. The record is from the annotation of a GenBank genome assembly.
UCCUGAGUGGCGCAAUGGAGCAGUGGGUCUGGCUGUUAACCAGAAGAUUGGUGGUUUGAACCCACCCAGGGA